Molecule: long non-coding RNA, 1249 nt
Organism: Megachile rotundata (alfalfa leafcutting bee)
Lineage: Eukaryota; Metazoa; Arthropoda; Insecta; Hymenoptera; Megachilidae
Source: RefSeq, a predicted model, not a curated record
AUAAUAUCCACUGUAUUUCUUUUCAUCUUCCACGAAACAUAAAUAAGUUUUUUCUAAUGGCUCUUGAGCUAUAAUAUCUAUGUUAGAAAUAAGAACCCCAGAAUGUGGAAUUUAACACUUUUUCAUCUGGAUGUGACAAUCCCUGAUGAAACAUUCCUUCAGCCAUCUGUUCCUCAAUUACAGCUACUGUAUCACAUUGAACAUAUGCUUUAGUUUCAUAAAAUGGACGUUGCUCAGUAAAAAAGCCAGGCUUUCUUGCAUAACAAAUAGUAAUAUCAAACAGAGACUUCCAAUCUUCCCCAAAGGCAUAAGUAGCAGUAAAAUUAACAAAAUCAACAUUUGAUCCAGUGAUGAGAAAAGUAAUACAAUGUUUUUUUAAUUCCUGAAGCCAUUUUAUAGUUCUUUCAUUACAUUUAUGCAUGUAUUUAUGAGGAUUUUGUUUAGCAAAAGAAAUGUGGUCAAUACAAAAGUUUGAGUUACGCCAAUGUUUUCGUGGGCCAUUUCCGUCGAAAUACAUUCGACAUCUGCGUAGAAUAGCAUAAAAACAUAUUGCGAGUAUGUGAAUUGUUGGAAAUACGAAUUUAAAGAAACAGACAUUAGGAUGACUUCAACAUUUUCAGCUAUCAAGACGCCUGCAAGAAGGGAAUUUUUGUACACCAUGUUUAAUAAAGUGUAGAAUGCUUCAAGAUGACAAUUGACUUAUUCUCGUAUUACACAUCUGCGAUCCAUAGUGAGCCUGAUAUUGGUUUGUAUAUAGACGUACGUAGCCAUCGUUGCAGAAAUUAGGUUACCUUCCAACGGAUAUACAAAGGGGCCCUACAAAUUGGUCCAUAUCCUACAUGCUUUCAAAAUAAGUCACCAUAAACGUUCCAAUUUCGAUCUGAUAAAAAUUCUGAUGAAUGUAACGAGAUUAAAAUGAACGAGCUGGUCAUCAAUUACGGAAAAUGUAACAGCAAAUUCCAUUGUGGUUUCAACAAUUCGUUCCGCGAAUUCGAUAAUCAGAAAUCCUAUAAUAACGCGACGAUAAAUCUUGCGUAUAUUUUCAAAUGACCAUUUUGCACGAUUCUGUAUAUUGGUCAAGGCUGCAGAGUUCUUGAUGAACAUUUCAACGAAGCGAAAACGAUACGCAUCUUCACUGGACGUGAUUUAUUCUUCAGCUUGGCAAUGGAGAACAAAUUAACAUGUUGCUUUUGAUUCGACGGAACCAGGUCUUCCAAAUAGCACGUGCAUACAAUAGGUACGCCUACAA